GACGAACGCUGGCGGCGUGCUUAACACAUGCAAGUCGAACGGAAAGGCCCUGCUUUUGUGGGGUGCUCGAGUGGCGAACGGGUGAGUAACACGUGAGUAACCUGCCCUUGACUUGGGGAUAACUUCAGGAAACUGGGGCUAAUACCGGAUAGGAGCUCCUGCUGCAUGGUGGGGGUUGGAAAGUUUCGGCGGUUGGGGAUGGACUCGCGGCUUAUCAGCUUGUUGGUGGGGUAGUGGCUUACCAAGGCUUUGACGGGUAGCCGGCCUGAGAGGGUGACCGGGCACAUUGGGACUGAGAUACGGCCCAGACUCCUACGGGAGGCAGCAGUGGAGAAUAUUGCACAAUGGGCGGAAGCCUGAUGCAGCAACGCCGCGUGCGGGAUGACGGCCUUCGGGUUGUAAACCGCUUUCGCCUGUGACGAAGCGUGAGUGACGGUAAUGGGUAAAGAAGCACCGGCUAACUACGUG
This 468-nucleotide ribosomal RNA is filed under the name uncultured bacterium. RNAcentral's name for it is "partial 16S ribosomal RNA". It matches the Rfam family "Bacterial small subunit ribosomal RNA", at positions 28 to 507 of the family's 1533-position model. The record is from RNAcentral.